This 263-nucleotide unclassified non-coding RNA is filed under the name plant metagenome. RNAcentral's name for it is "partial contains small subunit ribosomal RNA, internal transcribed spacer 1, and 5.8S ribosomal RNA". The record is from RNAcentral.
UUUCCGUAGGUGAACCUGCGGAAGGAUCAUUAUUGUAUAACCGAGGUGCGAGGGCUGUCGCUGACCCGACAGGUCGUGCACGCCCGAGUGCCCUCACACACAUCCAUCUCACCCCUGUGUGCACCACCGCGUGGGUCCCCCUUUGGCUUGUUCGGAGGGGGGCUUACGUUUUCACACAAACUUUGUAUGCAGUGUAGAAUGUAUUUUUUGUUUUUGCGAUCACGCAAUCAAUACAACUUUCAACAACGGAUCUCUUGGCUCUC